UGGACAAGUUGUCAGUGUGCCGAGUAAUGG
Molecule: non-coding RNA, 30 nt
Filed under: Rattus norvegicus (Norway rat)
Lineage: Eukaryota; Metazoa; Chordata; Mammalia; Rodentia; Muridae
Source: RNAcentral